Molecule: transfer RNA, 84 nt
Filed under: Rickettsiales bacterium Ac37b
Lineage: Bacteria; Pseudomonadati; Pseudomonadota; Alphaproteobacteria; Rickettsiales
Rfam family: tRNA
About the family: Transfer RNA (tRNA) molecules are approximately 80 nucleotides in length. Their secondary structure includes four short double-helical elements and three loops (D, anti-codon, and T loops).
Source: Rfam by way of RNAcentral
GCCCAGAUGGCGGAACUGGUAGACGCACUAGCUUCAGGUGCUAGCAGCUUAAUUGCUAUGGAAGUUCGAGUCUUCUUCUGGGCA